CUGGCGCAGUUGUUUCCACUGACCCAGCACCA
This 32-nucleotide non-coding RNA is filed under the name Syntrophotalea carbinolica DSM 2380. Lineage: Bacteria; Pseudomonadati; Thermodesulfobacteriota; Desulfuromonadia; Desulfuromonadales; Syntrophotaleaceae. The record is from RNAcentral.